RNAcentral lists this ribosomal RNA (465 nucleotides) under uncultured bacterium. RNAcentral describes it as "partial 16S ribosomal RNA". It matches the Rfam family "Bacterial small subunit ribosomal RNA", at positions 28 to 507 of the family's 1533-position model. The record is from RNAcentral.
GACGAACGCUGGCGGCGUGCUUAACACAUGCAAGUCGAACGGAAAGGCCCUGCUUGCAGGGUCCUCGAGUGGCGAACGGGUGAGUAACACGUGGGUGAUCUGCCCUGCACUUCGGGAUAAGCCUGGGAAACUGGGUCUAAUACCGGAUAGGAGCCAUUUUUAGUGUGAUGGUUGGAAAGUUUUUUCGGUGUAGGAUGAGCUCGCGGCCUAUCAGCUUGUUGGUGGGGUAAUGGCCUACCAAGGCGGCGACGGGUAGCCGGCCUGAGAGGGUGGACGGCCACAUUGGGACUGAGAUACGGCCCAGACUCCUACGGGAGGCAGCAGUGGGGAAGAUUGCACAAUGGGCGCAAGCCUGAUGCAGCGACGCCGCGUGGGGGAUGACGGCCUUCGGGUUGUAAACUCCGUUCGCUAGGGACGAAGCUUUUUGUGACGGUACCUAGAUAAGAAGCACCGGCUAACUACGUG